GUAGUUUUUAGCACUGUGACCUCUGCAAGAGCAGAGAGCACUGCAGCGGAGGGCCAGGGGGUACAACCGUUCUACCCACCGCUGUCAUGUCUCUUUAUUCCCUUCCAAAAGCAUGCGGGUCUCCUGUCACACAACCUGUGUAGCAGAAGCUCCACAGGUCUGUCCAGUGCCUUCUCAGCAGAAGAAAGGGGCUCUCUGUCUAGACCCACAGGAAGGCAUGGCAACAGAAGGCCACGUCUGGAAAGCAGGGGUGAAAAAAGGAUGGCAGAGAUCACUGACCAUAGUUUGUGACUUCAAACUUUCUGUAUAACACGGAUGAAGAAAAAGACUCAAAAUCCAACGUUGUCAUGAGCCAAGUGACUGACAUGAGGGAUGGAGUGUUUUCUGUCAGUUCUGUCUGGCCUUCCGAUUUUAUUCCUGUAAGGAGAAAGGAAAUGCCCCGCACCGUUAAAGUAAACACGCAUGCUGCCAUCGGAUCUCUUGACUGUGCAUUUGGUUUCACUCCCUUCUUGCCUGUCGUCUAUAGGGGGCAAACCUCCUUGUGCUGCUCAAGGUCACUGGAGGCCGGGAUUUCAGAAGUGCUGGGGAACCACGGCCCCUUUCCUACCUUCCACCUGCCACAAUAAACCUAUCCCCCUAUUUCUAUUUGGGGUUAAUGUAAAGAGCUUUUUACAUAAGCCACAGUCUUUUCAUCCUACAGUUAAAUCUGUGCCUUAAAACGCAAAUGUUCCCGAGGGGCCCAUUCAUUCUAUUGGAAGGUAACAGGACAGAUGUCAGGUUUAUAGCUGAAAACAGGAGAAGCUUACAAAGCAGGGUGGUAUUGAGAGUGUGAGCGAAGAGGGAAAGAAUAGUGACAGAGAAAGAAGGAUGACCUUGACCUUCAAGGUCAUCAUGACCAACAACAGUUCAUCGUGCAGUAGCAUGAAUGCAUGGCUUCUGAAACCAGAGGCACUUUGUAAGAUAGUUUCCUCUGAGGCAAACUUCUGAAGUCAAUUCAAAUUCAAACCAAGAGUACAAAAUUAAAAAAAUCAAGGAGGAAUGCGUUUUUGCAAUCUCUUAAAAAAUAAACACCCCGCUGCUUAAAAGUCACAUAAAAAAUUCAAGUGAUUCUGGAAGUGAUUCUUUACCUAUAAAGUGACAGCGGAAGCAAAGGCCUGCUGUCCCCUUGUGACCCCAGUGGUUACAGUCAGCCCGUGACUCUUGUAGUUAACAAAGGCUGCACAAAGAUGUUCCUAGUUCCUUCGUCGGGGGGUAGAAAUCUAUCUAGACUCUACCCAGCCACCCGGAAACCCUACAAACACCUGAUAGUUGGGCACUGACCUAUGAUGUGGGAAUUAUGCCACUGCUGCUUAAUUAAUGCUUACAAAAGAAAUCCUACCUAUAAGUUUUGAGUUCUGCUAGGCCAAGUGUACAUUUUUAAAUUUAAAUUUUCCUUGCCAUUUGCUAGUAAUGAUGUAAGUAAUGUAUUCAUGGGCACAUAGCAGCCAGGAAAGCAAAGUACUUCUGAGUAUUUGUGACUUAACAACAAAGGAUCCCUGAAUGCUGCAUAAUGUCAACAUGGAUUAUGAUGACUGUAAUUAAGACCCAUUGCCUGAUUGCAAUUAAGACACUUAUCAAAAGGUGCAAAGCUGUGUCUAGAAUCGAAGAAGCAGAGAGGCUCAGAGCCGGGGUUCUGGCAGCAGACUGCCCGCAAUUUCCCCUGCUGGGCCCGUCUUCUCACCUGUGAAAUGGACAGAAGGGUGGUGUCUACCUGCUGAGUUUUCCGUGGUGAUUAAAUCAAUUAACAUAUGUCCGUUUCUUCCAGCAGUUCCUGGUACAGAAUCAACACUCAGUAAAUGGUAACUAUUUUCACUGCUGAAGCCCAGUAUGAUUCAGACGGAUUCCUGAGUAUUUUUAGGAGGAUCACAAUAGCAGUGAUUCUGACAUUUCGCUGUCGGCCUGGGUGCUGAUGCUCACAUCAGUUAUUCCACUAACCAGGAAGAGGGUAACGGUAGUGGAAGUGUCAUCACCAGCGGUGAGUUUGAUGAAAGAUGUUCAACAGCUGGCAUCCGGAGUUCUGCUUCCUCAUAACUGAGACAUCCCUCGAAUCAUUGCGGGUCACAGCUUCUCAGCUGUCGGCGCCCAGCAGUAGGUACUCCGUGCCAACCCCAGCGGGCAGCGGGCGUGACAAGUGUGAGUGGGCGGGAGUGUUGGGUGACUUGCACCGGACGCUC
This is a long non-coding RNA of Acinonyx jubatus (cheetah), 2213 nucleotides long. RefSeq lists it as uncharacterized. NCBI's taxonomy places the organism in Eukaryota, Metazoa, Chordata, Mammalia, Carnivora, Felidae. The transcript has 3 exons. The record is from RefSeq and is a predicted model, not a curated record.